Molecule: ribosomal RNA, 727 nt
Filed under: uncultured bacterium
Lineage: Bacteria
Description: bacterial SSU rRNA
Rfam family: Bacterial small subunit ribosomal RNA
Source: RNAcentral
GGGUUAGUGGCGGACGGGUGAGUAACGCGUGAGAAUCUGCCCUCAGGAGGGGGACAACAGCUGGAAACGGCUGCUAAUACCCCAUAUGCCGCGAGGUGAAAUGAAUUUCGCCUGAGGAUGAGCUCGCGUCUGAUUAGCUAGUUGGUGUAGGUAAUGGCUCACCAAGGCAUCGAUCAGUAGCUGGUCUGAGAGGAUGAUCAGCCACACUGGGACUGGGACACGGCCCAGACUCCUACGGGAGGCAGCAGUGGGGAAUUUUCCGCAAUGGGCGAAAGCCUGACGGAGCAACGCCGCGUGAGGGAUGAAGGCCUCUGGGCUGUAAACUUCUUUUAUCAAGGAAGAAGAUCUGACGGUACUUGAUGAAUAAGCCACGGCUAAUUCCGUGCCAGCAGCCGCGGUAAUACGGGAGUGGCAAGCGUUAUCCGGAAUUAUUGGGCGUAAAGCGUCCGCAGGCGGCCCUUCAAGUCUGCUGUUAAAAAGUGGAGCUUAACUCCAUCAUGGCAGUGGAAACUGUUGGGCUUGAGUGUGGUAGGGGCAGAGGGAAUUCCCGGUGUAGCGGUGAAAUGCGUAGAUAUCGGGAAGAACACCAGUGGCGAAGGCGCUCUGCUGGGCCAUCACUGUCGCUCAUGGACGAAAGCCAGGGGAGCGAAAGGGAUUAGAUACCCCUGUAGUCCUGGCCGUAAACGAUGAACACUAGGUGUCGGGGGAAUCGACCCCCUCGGUGUCG